This 253-nucleotide ribosomal RNA is filed under the name uncultured bacterium. RNAcentral describes it as "partial 16S ribosomal RNA". It matches the Rfam family "Bacterial small subunit ribosomal RNA", at positions 524 to 776 of the family's 1533-position model. The record is from RNAcentral.
UACAGAGGGUGCAAGCGUUAAUCGGAAUUACUGGGCGUAAAGCGUGCGUAGGUGGGUGUAUAAGUCAGAUGUGAAAGCCCCGGGCUUAACCUGGGAAAGUCGUCUGGUACUGUACAUCUAGAGUACAGGAGAGGGAAGUGGAAUUUCCGGUGUAGCGGUGAAAUGCGUAGAUAUCGGAAGGAACACCAGUGGCGAAGGCGGCUUCCUGGCCUGAUACUGACACUGAGGCACGAGAGCGUGGGGAGCGAACAGG